UACGGAGGAUCCGAGCGUUAUCCGGAUUUAUUGGGUUUAAAGGGUGCGCAGGCGGGGGGAUUAAGUCGGCGGUGAAAUUUUGCAGCUCAACUGUAAAAGUGCCUUCGAAACUGGUUUCCUUGAGUGUAGAUGAAGUAGGCGGAAUUCGUGGUGUAGCGGUGAAAUGCAUAGAUAUCACGAGGAACUCCGAUCGCGUAGGCAGCUUACUAGGCCAUAACUGACGCUCAUGCACGAAGGCGUGGGGAUCAAACAGGAUUAGAUACCCUGGUA
This 270-nucleotide ribosomal RNA is filed under the name uncultured prokaryote. RNAcentral describes it as "partial 16S ribosomal RNA". It matches the Rfam family "Bacterial small subunit ribosomal RNA", at positions 524 to 792 of the family's 1533-position model. The record is from RNAcentral.